AUUGAACGCUGGCGGCAUGCCUAACACAUGCAAGUCGAACGGCAACAGACUAAGGGGUUCUGACUACUGGUGGACGGGUGCGUAAUGCUGCGGAAUGCACCCAGAGCUGGUGGUUAAUGCAGGGAAAGCUGGGCAAACAUCCCCUGUUACCUCAGGAUGACAGCGGGGGAACACACAGCAACGUUUGGCCUUGCGCCUUUGGAGCGGCCGAUGUCGGAUUAGCUAGUUGGCGGGGUAAAGGCCUACCAAGCCGACGAUCCGUAGCUGGUCUGAGAGGACGAUCAGCCACACUGGAACUGAGACACGGUCCAGACUCCUACGGGAGGCAGCAGUGGGGAAUAUUGGACAAUGGGCGCAAGCCUGAUCCAGCCAUACCGCGUGGGUGAAGAAGGCCUUCGGGUUGUAAAGCCCUUUUGUUGGGAAAGAAAAGCCGCUGGCUAAUACCUGGCGGUUAUGACGGUACCGAAAGAAUAAGCACCGGCUAACUACGUG
RNAcentral lists this ribosomal RNA (492 nucleotides) under uncultured bacterium. RNAcentral describes it as "partial 16S ribosomal RNA". It matches the Rfam family "Bacterial small subunit ribosomal RNA", at positions 30 to 507 of the family's 1533-position model. The record is from RNAcentral.